GUGCUCCUUUCAGUAGCAUAUGUAUUAAAACUAACACGAUAAAGAUUAGCAUAGCCCUUGUACAAGGACCUCAUGCAAAUUUGUGAAGUGUUCCAUGUAUUA
Mustela putorius furo (domestic ferret) is the source of this 102-nucleotide small nuclear RNA. NCBI's taxonomy places the organism in Eukaryota, Metazoa, Chordata, Mammalia, Carnivora, Mustelidae. The record is from Ensembl.